Aedes albopictus (Asian tiger mosquito) is the source of this 1494-nucleotide long non-coding RNA. RefSeq lists it as uncharacterized. The record is from RefSeq and is a predicted model, not a curated record. Lineage: Eukaryota; Metazoa; Arthropoda; Insecta; Diptera; Culicidae. The transcript is spliced from 3 exons.
UUGAACCUACCUUGUGUCUUUACAUAUCCACUGUACGUAGUACGUACAAACGAGAGUCCUUUCCACGCUGGUGUCUGUGCAACCCCAGUGUACUCUGUUUCUGUGUGGGUGAACCGUUUACGAUUCAAUUGCUCGCCAUGAAUGAAUGAAUGACAGAGCGUAGUAACGUAAAACUAAAGAGAACACGCUCCGCCCCGGCGAGAGAGUCCUUGCCAGGUGACAAUCACAGCAUGGAGAACAUCAACUGCCGUGGCCACGCCUCCUGCCGCGCCGUGGUAUGUACAACAUGAAUGUCACAUGUUUUAUUUUAUAUGCACGCGUCAAAGUUGCAACUUUGAGUAGUCAAAAAAGAAGAAGUUGGGAGCAGUAUCUUAUCACGGGCUGCCGAGGUUGGCUGACUGGUCGGAUCGGAUGCUGCGGUUGGCUUGAACAGCAGCUCGUCGGAGUGUGCCAUAAGGACUUUGGCAUCAUCCUUUCGGUCGGUCGUUGGUGGUGGAAUGGGAAAAGUGACAUCGGUGUUGCGGUGGGUCGGAUGGGAGAGGAAACACGGAAAAUGACUGACUGGUGUUGGAUUUUGUGUAGAUGCGCCCAGUCAGCGGCAAAGCGAUGACGCGGGAUGUGAGCAUGAACAUAAGGAUUCGAGAGCAAGGAUACAGCUCUGACUGCAGAGGGGGAGAAUGCUCGGUUCGCUCUGGCAAAUGAAAAAGUCGACAUGAUGAGGUGAAAAGCGGUUUUUGGGUGGUGUGGUGUUGUUGGCUAGAGCCGGUUGAGGGUGGGAAGAGAGCCUGGCGUUCCGGUUGAAGUGAGUCGCUGGCUGAUGCCAGUGGUAACUGUAGCAAAUGUGAAUUGUGAUGAAGUCAAUACAGCAUCAGUCGGUAAUCAGCUUCUACCGUUUCUGGCUGUGCCAUUGCGGGAAAUCUGAACAACCGGAGUCAGUUGAUCAGGAACAAUCGAGCAAGUGACACCAAUCGGUUCUACCUUCCAGUAGUGUGGCAAAACGUAUCGGAACGGUUGCGUCGGGAUAUUAGUGUCGUUUGUGAAGUUCAUCAUCCUUUAGAGAAGAUAUAUGUUUUGUGGUCUUAUACAAAUCGGGAAUAUUCUUUGGGAUUUCGAAAGUGAUCUGGUAGUUGGUUAGUCAACAUAAUUCCAAAAGUGACAAAGUGAAUUUAUAUUUGUUCAAGAGUUGAUGACAAAUCGUCAAUAGAAAUUUUCCAAGUUGGAUUUCAAAUUCGUUUGGCAACCACGAAGAAUGGGAACAGGUGACAGAUUACUUGACAUCCCAUGCAAAGUAUGCGGUGAUCGUAGCUCAGGAAAGCAUUAUGGCAUCUACAGUUGUGACGGCUGCUCGGGAUUCUUCAAACGCAGCAUCCACCGAAAUCGAGUUUACACUUGUAAGGCGGCUGGUGAACUGAAGGGUCGCUGUCCGGUGGACAAAACCCAUCGCAAUCAGUGUCGGGCCUGUCGGUUAUCCAAGUGCUUCCAGUCCGCAAUGAA